ACGUAGGGAGCGAGCGUUGUCCGGAAUUACUGGGCGUAAAGGGUGCGUAGGCGGCGCUGCAAGUCAGAUGUGAAAUCCCCAGGCUUAACCUGGGGGGUGCAUUUGAAACUGCAGUGCUUGAGUGCAGGAGAGGAAAGCGGAAUUCCUAGUGUAGCGGUGAAAUGCGUAGAUAUUAGGAAGAACAUCAGUGGCGAAGGCGGCUUUCUGGACUGUAACUGACGCUGAGGCACGAAAGCGUGGGGAGCAAACAG
This 251-nucleotide ribosomal RNA is filed under the name uncultured prokaryote. RNAcentral describes it as "partial 16S rRNA". It matches the Rfam family "Bacterial small subunit ribosomal RNA", at positions 525 to 775 of the family's 1533-position model. The record is from RNAcentral.